Molecule: long non-coding RNA, 10255 nt
Organism: Cryptomeria japonica (Japanese cedar)
Lineage: Eukaryota; Viridiplantae; Streptophyta; Pinopsida; Cupressales; Cupressaceae
Exons: 3
Source: RefSeq, a predicted model, not a curated record
CCUUGGACCCUUGGAGAGGGACAGGAGCGAAAUUCGCUCUGGAUCCUUAGUGAAGGACAGGAGCGAAAUUUGACUUUUUGAACUCUCUAUCAGGAUAAUUUUUAUGGAAUAUAACAUUAAAGUAUAAGUGACAUUUCCUUCUAUCUUUCUUCCUUCUUAUACUUUAAGUUAUAUUCCAUAUAUACUUUCAGGAUGUUUGAGAGUGGUUUCAGACCUCCAGGAGUUAUAUUGCAAAAUCUAGUUUUUUGAGGUUUUUCAGUUUCCAGACUUAGUCAAAUUUCAGGAUCAAGACAUUCCAGACUUAGUCAAAUUUCAGGAUCAGGACUUUUAGACUUAGCCAAAUUUUCAGGAUCAGGACAUCACUCAAGCCGGACUUGCUAUCCUAUUGAUCUCCCCGACAGCACUCAAAAAUGCAAAAGCCAACUGACAAAACCCUAAAAGACCUAGAAAACAAACCCUAAAAAGCAAAAAACAUGGGUCCCCAUUUGCAAUGGGGCGAUGUGUGAAAACGUCACAACAAUAACCUUCUGGUUGCUCAAUAUAGACUUCCUCCUCAAUGACACCUUUAAGGAAGGCUAUCUUAACGUCCAUUUGAUGCAGCUCCCAACCUUUGGCUGCAGCAAUAGCUAUUAUAGACCUAAUAGAGGUAUAUCUAGCAACAGGGGCAAAUGUUUCUUCAUAAUCUAUUCCUUCCUUUUGAGAAAAACCACGUGGUACAAAUCUAGCUUUAUAUUUUUCAAUACUACCAUCAGCAUUAUGUUUAAUUUUAAACAACCAUUUAGAAGAAACGAUAGACUUACCUUUGGGUUUGGGUACAAUGUCCCAGACAUUAUUCUUGAUGAUAGACCCAUACUCUUCGUCCAUGGCUAAUUUCCAAGCAUGAUGGGACAUAGCUUCUCCGAUAUUGUGGGGUUCAGACUCAAUUAUAUUGCACAUCACAGAAAUGUAGUUGGCAUGAUUUUGAACACUCUUGCUAUUUCUGAAAGUUCCUCUGGGAGCAGCAAACCCUUUAGCAUCUUGAAUCGUAUUUCUAACCCAAAGUGGUCUCUUCUUGCAGACCACAAUAUCCUGAGGAAUAUCGGUAGAUUGCAUGGGUUCUGAUGAGUCAUUCUGAACUUCCUGAUUUGGAAGAUCAGUAGACUCCUCCUGUAACUCAGGGUUAGCAUCAACAAUUGAAUCUUGAUUUUCCAUCACCAUAUCAUUAUAGUUGGUUAAUGAACCUUUAGAUCUUUUGAAAGCAAUAUCUUCUUCAAAAGUUACAUCUCUACUUAACUCAACAUACCUUUGACCUAAAAUGUAGAUCCUGAAGGCUUUGGAAGAUUCACUGUAUCCUACUACGAUGCCUUUCUUUCCAGAUGGAUCCAGCUUGGUUCGUUUUUCUUUAGGCACAUGAACAUACACAGGGCUUUGUUGACGUAUAUUUUGUACACAGCCUAACACAGAAUAAAAUACCUAAGGGUAUCUUAUCCUCUCUUGAGAAAAAGUCUCUAACUGCUGAAGAUUCGCAUAAAGGAUCAGUUAGGAUGACUCCAAGGUUCCUAUUAGUAGGGUCUCUACAUGUGGAUAAGCUCUCUGUGGUAUGAUGUGAUUUGCUGGAAUCACAAGGGGACUUACAUUUGGUGAUUGAAUUUCCGAUCUACUUUGCUAGAACACAAGCUCUCACUAACUUAGAUUAAAAAAAGGGAAAAAGGAAGGGGGUGAAGAGAGGAUCUAAUCCUAAUACUAAGAAUGUAGGAGCAAUGAUUUGAUUUUUGAUGAAACUCCAACUAGGUCUUGUUUUGACAUCAAUGGAACAUCUACACAAGGCUAGUGCGAUCUUCUAAGGGAAGCUUUAUGAUGUUCAAAUCAUCACCAUAGGCAUAGACACCAUCAAGUUGAUGCAUAUCAAUGAAGAAGCGACAAAUUGAAAUUGAGCUUAGGCUGAAUGAUUCCAGUUGACUACGCAAGGCAAGUCUGCAAUCAACAAACUGCUAGUAGUAUGGAUGUAUGAAUUCCACCAUUAAUCAAUCGCAUUUCCUCCAUUCAUCUAAUCAUCUACCAUCUAGGAUUGAAGACUCAACAAGAAACCAUGCAAAUUGCAAGAAACAACACACUUCACCAUUACUUCAAUGAAAAUGGAGUUUGUUUACAAUCAAUGGCAACAAUUUCUUGCCUUGUCCUCCUAUUCUACUCUAAUUACUAUUCUAUCAACUAUAUUCUAACUCUUCCAAUUAUUUACAUGCUAUCUCUAACUUAUUGCUAAUUAACCUUUACAAAUGAAAUGCCUGGGCUUAUAUAGUGCCCACAAUACAAUUUGAUGGCUUAGAUCAAUUCAAGAUCAAUGGCCAAGAUUCAACAAUGAAAACCCUAAUUAGGGUUUGUUACAACCAUUACAUAACAUUUAAUGCUUGACCAAUGACAAAAUUGUAUUGCUUGGACACAUGUCCCUUCUAGAAAAAUCGACCAAUGGAUAGCCGGGGUAGGUACAUCGGAGUUUGUGCCACCUUCCAUGAGUUAAGUACAUUGAAUCUGGACAUGCUGAGGUGGACCACACUGACUGGAGGAGUGAUGACUGGGAUGCCACCUCAUCUGACACUUGUAGCUUGCUAGAUAUUCAAUUUGAUGUCGUUGAGAGGCUAUCUUUAAUUAACUCUUGUUCUAACUCCUUGUGUCCUUGAUGUGCAGGAUGAUGAUGUACCUCGCCUUGGAACGUUGGAUUGGAAGAGGUUGCCCUUGAUGACGUUAGUCCAAAGAAGGUCGUCCUUGUCCUGGCUUGAUCGUCCCGGCGAAGACCGUCCUUGAUCCGGCUUGAUUUUCCUUGAUGAGAUCUCCAUUUGAUGCCUACACAACAUUUUAAAAUUAGUAACAUGAUUUUGCAAUAUAUAACAUAGAUUAGAUUAAUUUUUAGGAAACUUCAUAAUAAAUCCUUGAGUUAUUAUUUCCUAAAAAACGAUUGGGCUACUGGAAUUCAAAAUUCAAAAUUCAAAAUUUAAGCUAUGACGAUCAACGUUCAAAAUCAAAAUAAUAAAUCCAUAUCGUCAUACCUCACUUGAGAGCUAACUCUAGAAUGCAAAAACAAAUGGAUUCGCCUAGGCAAAAUUAACGUUUGAAGCCCUUGCCACGUGAUCUUCAAGGAUAAGGAACAUCCUCUUUAUCAAUUCGCCACCCUUGGAGUCUUUGAUGUGUUCUUCAAUGUCCUUGGCAAGUUCGCUCAAGUGGAAACUAAGUUCGCACCUCCUUGCUUGAAAUGAAAGUUCGCACCAUCUUUGGAUAUAAAUUUGCACCCUUCUCCCUUAAGAUCGCAUGUGAGAUGAUAAAAUGAUAAUGUGAAAAUAAAAGUCUUUCACCUCCCUUUAUAGGCGCUCACCUUCAUAUUGACCUUAGGCGGACUUUGGUGAAUAAGGCAAAUUUAAAAUAAGUUUAAAAGGCCGACCUUGACAAAAUAAACCCAAGCGCUCAACUUGAUUUUAUAAUUAAUUAACAAUUAAUUAUGCCUUUAUAAUUAAUUUUUUUCGAUUUUUAAUAGGCAAAAUUAAUUAAUAAAUGUUAUGCGUUAUUUUUAAAUGCCAUUUAAUUAAAUUUUGAAAACCCAUCGAAUUUAACAUUUAAAAUAAAUUCAAAAACUUGUUUGAACGCCAAAAUUGGAGAAUUGAGAAGAGUACAAACCUCAUCGCCCUGGUCCCUGACUGAGGGACAGGAGCGAUCCAUCACCUUGGUCAUGAUUCUUGCAAUUUUACGUCCAAAGUCUCCAUCCUUACGUUGUGAUUGCCAUUUUUGCUGGGCCCUUCGAGCUUGAAUGUCUUGCUUGUGUGAUCUAGUGUUCUUUUAAGGUGACAUCGCCCUGGUCCCUUGGAGAGGGACAAGAGCGAUCUUGAUGUUUUCUCCAUUUCAAGCUCAUCUUAACGUUCACCUUCCUUGUAUCACCUUCCAAAUGAUGUUUUAAAGCUUAUGCGACUUUAUUUUAACGUGAUCUUUAAAGGAUAUCAUGUGUUUUGGCAAAUAUCGUCCUGGUCCCUUGGAGAGGGACAGGAGCGAUCCUCAUAAUUUCUCCUUAAUCUUUGCAUCUUUGAUCUUUAAUCUUCAUUGUGAUGGACAAACAAUGCUAUUCUUUCGCUCCCCUUUCGUUCCACUUGAAUUCUACAAGGUGUUUAGACGUUGGAAGGAUCAUCGCCCUUGUCCCUUGGAGAGGGACAGGAGCGAUCUUCAAGCUCUAGUCCAAAUGCAUCACCUCUCAACCUUGGUUCCUCGUUCAUUGCCUUCCAAAGGUCGUUCUUGAUCUAGCGUGAACUUGCCUUGUCUUGGUUUUGACGGAACAUGAAUGUUUUAAUGAAAUCGCUUUGGUCCUUGUCCAAAGGACAGGAGCGAUAUAGGCUCUUUGCUUAAUUGAUAGUACUUUGACGUUUGGAACCUUUGAAUAUCACCCUCAAAAGACACCUUAGACCUUGUGUGAUCUCGAAAAACCUUGACUUGGCAUGAAUUUGAAGGAAAAUGAAGGAUCCCAUACAAAUCGCCCUGGUCCCUUGGAGAGGGACAGGAGCGAUAUAGCUUCUUUGUUCAAUUUGAUGAUUGUUUAACGUUUGAAGCCUUUGAAUAUCAUCUUUUAAUCAUGUCUUGGACCCUUUACGACCUUGCAAAACCUUGACCUUACGUGAUAUUUGAGAGAUUUGGCUAAUAUAAUCAAUAUCGCUCUGGUCCCUUCCUGAGGGACAGGAGCGAACUAGGUGUCUAAGUGCGGUUCCUUCAAUAUUGGCAACUUUGGAUACUUCGUGCUUGAUUGAGAUGUCUUAAGACGUCCUUGCCUCCUUGUUCUUCAUUUUGGAGUGGCUUGAACUUGGAAGAAUAGCAAUAUAAUCAUCAUAUCGCCCUGGUCCCUUGGAGAGGGACAGGAGCGAUUUUGCUCUUGUGGGCUUCAUUUCACUUCAUCUCCUUCAAAAACUAUCUUCAAUUGUCUCGUCAUACUUCCUUUCAUUCAUUCAUGCCUUGAGAUCGGUUGUAACUUGGCAAGAAAAUCAUCUAUAACAAAAAUCGCUCUGGUCCCUUCCUGAGGGACAGGAGCGAACUUAAGCAUUUUGGUCCUUUGUUGGCAUUUGGUAAUCUUCAAUUUAUCUUCAAUGAGUUCAUUUCACCUCCUUCCUUGCCUUCAAACAUAAACUUGACUUGAUCUUUGCCUGAAUUUUGUCUUGUGAAGAACUUCGCUCUGGUCCCUUGGAGAGGGACGGGAGCUACAAAGAAUUUCGCCCUGGUCCCUGACUGAGGGACAGGAGCGAUUUUGGCAUUCUGGGUCACUUUCCUUCACGGCGGCACUUCAAGUUAUAUUCAUUUGAUAAAACAUCUCUCCUUGAGCAUCUUCAAAUUGUCAAGUCGUUAAAAUCCUGCAAGGACAAAGCAAUAUUUGAUUUGUAGCUCCGGUCCUUCACUGAGGGACAGGAGCGAUUUUGCUCCUACAGGGCAGAAUAACAUGAUUUUACACGUUUAAUCACUUCACGAGGCAAAAACAAAUCACCCUCAAUGCCCGGGAUCAAAAAUCAAAAAACUCAAACUUUGGUCAAAAAUAUUCAAUUGGACAAAAAUUUCACAUUUCAUUAUCAACACUUAGACAAAUUUAGGCUCUGCACUCAAAAAUUCCAAUUGAAAAUAGACCAUUCUAGCGAAUUUAUUCCAUUCAAAAUUUGCAUCCUACAAAGAAGCUCAAAAAAGCUCUCAAAACUGACUGGAUUCUGGCCUGAAAAAACGGUAAUUAAAACCCUAAGGCUUGACCCUAAAUCCAGACAACUGACUGACUAACAAAAUCCUAAAAACGAAGUGAAAAACGAGCAAAGGAACGAGCAUAAAAACAUGGGUCCCCAUUUGCAAUGGGGCGAUGUGUGAAAACGUCACAACAGGCUUCCGAAUAUUCUUAGGUGACUGAUGUCUGGUUUGAUUCCAGAAAAGGCUUCUUCAGGUGUCACAUCCUUUAGGACUCGAUGAGGACAUCUAUUCUGAAUAUAAACUGCAGUUUUGGAUGCUUCUGCCCAUAGAAAAGGUUGCAAGUCUUGAUCAUGUAUCAUGGCUCUUGCAGCUUCAACAAUGGUCCUGUUCUUUCUUUCAGCAACUCCAUUUUGUUGAGGGUUGUAAGGAACACAGAACUCCCUCUUAAUUCCUGCUUUAACACAAAAGUCAUAGAAGCUACCUGAGGUGUAUUCACCUCCAUUGUCAGACCUCAAACAUUUAAUUCAAUUUCCUGUAGUAUUUUCAACUAAGGCUUUGAAUUCUUUAAAUCUGUUUAGGAUUUCUUCAAACUCUUUAGUUUUAAGAAAAUAGAUCCAUGUUUUCCUAAAGAAAUCAUCUAUGAAGAUAACAUAAUAUAGGAAACCGCUAGGAGAUGCUAUAGACAUAGUACCACAUAAAUCUGAAUGAAUAAGUUCUAACCUUUCUUUAGCCCUACUAUCGCUUUUAUGAAAGGGAUUCUUUAUAUUCUUACCCAUUGCACAACCUUUACAAGUAUCAUCAUGAGAUAAACUGAGGUUAGGCAUACCUUUGACCAUUUUACCGAGAGUGGGAAGAGCUUGAAAGUGAAGAUGACCCAAUCUUCUAUGCCAUAGCUUGCAUGAUUCAGAGGUCUCAUGAAUGAGAGCUUGAAUUGGAUUAGCUGCAAGCUUAUAUAAACUCUCACAUCUAUUUCCAAUAAUAUGAGCAGAUUUGAAAUUAGAUUUCUUAGGCCAAGUGAGUACUUUCCCUUCAGAAAAUGCUAUUUGCAAACCCUUAUCUUCUAAAGCCGAAAUGGAAAUAAGAUUUCUUUUAAUACCAGGUACAAAGAGAAUAUCACAGAGUUGUAAGGAAAUACUAGAAUCUAGUUUUAAAGAGGUAGUGCCAGAACCUUUUACCGAGUAUAGAGCAUCAUCACCGAUUACUACAUGAAGAUUGGUGUCUUUUUCAAUCAGAUCUGAGAGAUGCUCAUGAAAUCCUGAGAUGUGUCUGGAGGCACCACUGUCAAGAAUCCACGUAUUGUUGUCCGUAGGAACAUUGCUGGAAAGAGCAGAGAUAAGAAGGUAGUCUUCACUUUGUUCGGCAACUUCAUUUAAGUUGGCUUCCCUUUCCUUUGGGUCAUUCUGACAAUCUCUGGCAUAGUGACCAUAUUUGUCACAUCUGAAGCAACGAAUGUGGGAGGAAUCUCUUGACUUUUUCCUUCUAUCAUAGGAGGAGGAUCUAAAAUCUUUGCUUCUCUUCUCUUUCUUCCAAUGACCACCUUUCUUAGAUUUAGGUAAGAGAACAUGAUUAUCUUUGAGAGAGUUCUUAAGUUUUCCUCUUACCUCAAUUCGAGAUUCCUCUUCGAUGCAAUCAGAUUGAAGACGUUCAAAGUUGGGACAAUCGGCUCUUCCACCAAUGCUACGAAUGAAUGGUUCCCAUUCAUCAGGUAGGCCAUUUAAUGCAAUCAUAACAAGAUCUUUAUCUGAGAUUUGGCAAUCAAGAGUGCUUAGCUUGUCCUUUAGUUCAUUGAUCUUCAUGAAGUAGGCUAUGAUUGAGUCUUCUUCUUUCAUUUUCAUGUGAAGAAGUUGCUGUCUUAGGGCAAGAGCCCUGCUGAGAUUGUUGACUUCAUACAUCCCUUCCAAGUGUUUGAUCAUUUCUCUGGCAGAUACAAACUUUGAUAUGACAGUGACAAGAUGAUUCUUGAUGGACUCAAUUAUGAUCCUUCUAGCUUUGAGGGAAUCUUUCUUGAAUAGUUUCAGCUCUUCAGCAUCUUCUGGAGGAGACAGCCUUUCUUCUUCUACAAAUUUCAGUAGAUCAUUUUCUUCAAGGAUCAAUAGAAUACAAACUUUCCAAGUAGCAAAAUCAAUGGCUCCCUCAAGCCUAUCUUCAGCCUUCAAACCUAACAUCUUUAAUCUGAACACAAACAACAGCUAUGUGCAACAAUUGAUUUGCUAAAAUAAGAGGUUAAUGACACCUAUAGCUCUGAUACCAUGUUAUUUUAAACCCUAGGUAUGUUAAUCAGAUUCAUAUAUUUGAUUAUGCCCUAGGUUGUAAUCAGAUUUGCAGUAUUUUAGUAAACCAACAUAGAUUAAUUGUGCCCCUAGAUUGUAUUCAGAUUUACAGUAUUUAAUAAGCCAAUAUAAAUCAGAAAUGGAAUAGUAGACAAACAAGCAUACCCUGGGAAAACCUCCAAGGAGGAAAAACCCAACAUGAAAGACCCAUAGGUCAGAUUAUAUUUUCUCCUCUAAACAUAAGUACAAUACUUAGCUUGAAUCUGAUUUGCACAUAUCAGAUCUGUUCCUUGUAUACUUCAAAGGCUUGCAUCAAGAUCCACUAUGUCCUCUUGGACAAUUUUGCACCAAGCUGAACAAGUUCUCAAUCUUCCUUAAGUUCGCACCCUUUUAAGACUUCGCACAGCAGAGCUAAAUCGCCUUGUAUAUUAUCGAACUUGAUUGAUUAUUGACUUGCAAAUUUUCAUUUACUUAUAUGCAUCAUUUAUUCUUUCAAAUGUAAGUCGGCCUCCUUGGAUUUUGGCGCCAAUGUUAAAUGGCAUGAGUUUAGCAUGGCAUUGAAUAGGGUCACAUCACCCUAGGAUAGGACCCGGUCCUAAAAUGGGGUUCGGAUGUUGCCUUAAGGCAAUCCGAACCCCUAUAUCCCUAGUUACAAUUAACAACAACAAUAUGGAAGCAAGCAGGGGCAGCAGAACAAUCUACAAGACAACACUGCAAGUGAAGGAUUGCACACUUUCAGAACUUAUGGUGAGCUAACACACAGAGUAUGAACUGCUAGAGACAUCUGGGCAAAUAGAAGAUACUGUAGCAAAGACAAACACAAGAGAUGGUCAUAAAAUUGGGUUCAUGCCAACAGAACUGACAAUUGGGUGCAGGCUUAACAAUUGGGUUAGCUUCAGGUGAGGAAAUAAUAACCCUUUGGCCUUCCCUUCAUAUGUCAGGAUAUCAUGCUUUCCUUUUCUUCAUCUGAUUAUCAUUGUUUACUUGCAAGGUCUUUGUUUCUGUGUAGGAUUGUAAGGUCCAGUAUCAUGUCCCCCAAGGCAGAUUCAAUAAUAAUUGCAGGUCUCUAGAGUUGAAGGUGAAAAUGCUCUAAGGCAGAAUGGGAGUAGAACGGGACGAAACAAGAAGAAGAACAUCUGCGUUUGGGUUCACAUGGGAAACAAUAUCCAUCCCACCUAGAGCUCCCUUCUGUUGAAGCUUCUAUACCCACACCCACAUCCACGCCCACAUUGACAACCAUAUCCUUCCCUCCCAAGUCUUGGGUUUGGUUUGGAGUUUGUGUGCCUGCCUCUCCUUUGGAUUUCUAUUACCAAAGCUUUGAUACAAUAGCCAAGGAACACACUCACAGAUUGGAACAGGAUAUACUAGAAUCUAUGGAUGUGCAAUCCAAAACACUGAUGAGGCCAUCAGGUGAUACCUUCCAAGAGGGCAACACUGAAUCCAGAGAAACUGGAGAGGAAGUUGUCAAAGGAAUCUGCGUAGAGGCAAAGAAGGGAGGGAGGUAGAAUGAAUAGUAGCAGCGAAAGUGUUCAGGUGAGAGCCAAGGUGAGGGAACUGAUGACGUGUCCACAAUGAACCAGAGUAGCCAAAGGGAGGCCAAGGUGCCUGACAAACUGCUCCCUCUCCUUGAGUGUUUGAGGGUUAGCAUUGCCUGCAAAUUUGGCUCCAUCUUCAAACAAAGGCUACAAGCUCAGGUUAAUGUCUGCUACUGAAGCAUGAUUCGAAGGCAUAUGGACUUCAGUAUUGCAAGGUUAAAACUAGAGAAGGCUCUUACUCUGGCAGUCUGGAAUUUUUAAAGAGUUGCAUCUAGUGUUUAACAAUGCACUUUUGUAUUACACAAAGUACUUUCAGGAGUUGUAUCUGUGUAUGUGCUUUGUUAAUUAGUCAGCAGUGAAAUAGUAAUAUUAUCCAAAUGAAGGCUCUGUUGAAACAAGAACGCCCAUCAACCAGAGAGAAAAUCUGGGAGGGGUCCAGAGCUGAAGUCCAUCAUUAUUUGCGGACAGAGAAAUGUAUGCAAUAAAAGCUGUGUGAGCUGUCCUAAAAAUUCAAAAGAAUCAUAACCAUCUGCUCUUGCUGCUAUACAAAUACAGAAGUCUGAAAGUGGUAAAUCUGUUUGAUAAAUGGAUAGCAGUGCUUCCUUCCCUAUCACAUGUGAGCUGGCUUCAUGACCUUACAUCUGUACAGACGUGUGUGUUUAGUAAAUCCUUUUUAAUGGCUUUUGUCUAUUGUGUCAUUAACUUUAUGGUCACUUCCUUUUUGUUGGUGAUUAGAAAUGUAGAUAAAAAUUUCAAAUCAACGAAGGCAUUUCUAUGUGAGCA